CACUGGGCUUAGGAACACUGCACUUCAAAUGUGGAUGGUGCUGAACCAUGUUGGCCAUACUGGACUCCAUUACCCCCUUUCCCAGCACAGGAACCCAGCAAAACCAGCAGCUACCCUUGGUGGAUCCCAACCCUUCCAAAAGCCGAGCUCUGACGUGUGAGUAACAACCAGGAAGGAUUCCUCAAUAACCUGGGAUAACCAAGUGGAUCUUUUUGAGCUGGUGACUGAGAGCUGUUGAUGUGGGGGGAGCAGAAGUCAAGCAUGUUCUUUAACGCCCCGUCAUGGUAAUCCCUCCUCAGAGACCCCUCUGCCAGCUCUGACACAGCCCAGCGCCAUCCCUUCACAUCUGGUCUGACUGACACAUCACCACAGGAGGAAAGCCCAAACUCUGAGACACAAAGACUGCGUUUCCCUGCCUUCCCCAGGACACCCCCUUCCCCGGUCCAUUGGAGCCACUGCCAUUGCCUCUGCUUGUGUGUCAGAGGAGAAACAC
Molecule: long non-coding RNA, 493 nt
Organism: Neopsephotus bourkii (Bourke's parrot)
Lineage: Eukaryota; Metazoa; Chordata; Aves; Psittaciformes; Psittacidae
Exons: 3
Source: RefSeq, a predicted model, not a curated record